RNAcentral lists this microRNA (23 nucleotides) under Ornithorhynchus anatinus (platypus). RNAcentral describes it as "Oan-Mir-92-P1a8_5p* (star (passenger))". Lineage: Eukaryota; Metazoa; Chordata; Mammalia; Monotremata; Ornithorhynchidae. The record is from RNAcentral.
AGGUUGGGAUCAGUGGAAAUGCU